Non-coding RNA from Coniochaeta sp. 2T2.1, 100 nucleotides. NCBI's taxonomy places the organism in Eukaryota, Fungi, Ascomycota, Sordariomycetes, Coniochaetales, Coniochaetaceae. The record is from the annotation of a GenBank genome assembly.
UCCGGUAUAGUGUAACGGUCAACAUAUCGCGUUUUCAUAAGGACUCCUUAGAGCUUCUGAAGCAUCCGCGGGGCUCGGGGUUCGAUUCCCCGUACCGGAG